GAUGAACGCUGGCGGCGUGCUUAACACAUGCAAGUCGAACGGAAAGGCCCAAGCUUGCUUGGGUACUCGAGUGGCGAACGGGUGAGUAACACGUGGGUGAUCUGCCCUGCACUUCGGGAUAAGCCUGGGAAACUGGGUCUAAUACCGGAUAGGACGAUGGUUUGGAUGCCAUUGUGGAAAGUUUUUUCGGUGUGGGAUGAGCUCGCGGCCUAUCAGCUUGUUGGUGGGGUAAUGGCCUACCAAGGCGUCGACGGGUAGCCGGCCUGAGAGGGUGUACGGCCACAUUGGGACUGAGAUACGGCCCAGACUCCUACGGGAGGCAGCAGUGGGGAAUAUUGCACAAUGGGCGCAAGCCUGAUGCAGCGACGCCGCGUGGGGGAUGACGGCCUUCGGGUUGUAAACUCCUUUCGCUAGGGACGAAGCGUCUUUGUGACGGUACCUGGAGAAGAAGCACCGGCUAACUACGUG
RNAcentral lists this ribosomal RNA (468 nucleotides) under uncultured bacterium. Its description in RNAcentral is "partial 16S ribosomal RNA". It matches the Rfam family "Bacterial small subunit ribosomal RNA", at positions 28 to 507 of the family's 1533-position model. The record is from RNAcentral.